This 253-nucleotide ribosomal RNA is filed under the name uncultured bacterium. Its description in RNAcentral is "partial 16S ribosomal RNA". It matches the Rfam family "Bacterial small subunit ribosomal RNA", at positions 524 to 776 of the family's 1533-position model. The record is from RNAcentral.
UACAGGGGGGGCAAGCGUUAUUCGGAUUUACUGGGCGUAAAGGGUGUGUAGGCGGCUUGAAAAGUUAGAAGUGAAAUGCCGAAGCUUAACUUCGGAACUGCUUUUAAAACUAUCAAGCUAGAGUCAGGGAGAGGAUAGUAGAAUUUCUAGUGUAGGGGUGAUAUCCGUAGAUAUUAGAAGGAAUACCAGAGGCGAAGGCGGCUGUCUGGAACUGUACUGACGCUGAGGCACGAAAGCGUGGGGAGCAAACAGG